AUUGAACGCUGGCGGCAGGCCUAACACAUGCAAGUCGAGCGAGCGGCGGACGGGUGAGUAAUGUAUGGGGAACUGCCUGAUGGAGGGGGAUAACUACUGGAAACGGUAGCUAAUACCGCAUACUAUCAGAUGAACCCAUAUGGGAUUAGCUAGUAGGUGGGGUAACGGCUCACCUAGGCGACGAUCUCUAGCUGGUCUGAGAGGAUGACCAGCCACACUGGAACUGAGACACGGCCCAGACUCCUACGGGAGGCAGCAGUGGGGAAUAUUGCACAAUGGGCGCAAGCCUGAUGCAGCCAUGCCGCGUGUGUGAAGAAGGCCUUCGGGUUGUAAAGUACUUUCAGCGGGGAGGCGUUACCCGCAGAAGAAGCACCGGCUAACUCCGUGCCAGCAGCCGCGGUAAUAC
This 406-nucleotide ribosomal RNA is filed under the name uncultured bacterium. RNAcentral's name for it is "partial 16S ribosomal RNA". It matches the Rfam family "Bacterial small subunit ribosomal RNA", at positions 30 to 526 of the family's 1533-position model. The record is from RNAcentral.